ACUGGCAUGGCUGAGAAUCUGCCCCCUGCUCUCUUAAAUUAAUCUCCUGACUAGCUCAGGUACUUUUAUGGCCACUAUUGCCAUAGCAUCGGAGCACCUCACAAGCUUUAACACAGUUAUUUUCACAACCCCACAGCGAGGGAGGGAAGUAGUAUUAUUCUCGCUUUGUAGAUGGGGAAGUGAGGCACAGAGAAGCACAAGGACUUAACUAAGGUCGCACGGGGAAUCAGUAGCAGAGCAGGAUGUGAACCCAUGUUUCCUAAGUCUGAAGUUACGACUCUAAUGACUGGACCAUCAUUCUCCUUCCUUUUUCAAUCAGUGAGCCAAGCAGAUAUCUCUGUAUUUAAUUUAUCCCUCCCUUUCUGUCAGUUCCUCAGGCUGCUGAACAAUGAAUUCAGGCAGAGACAUCUGGAGAAAAUGAAUGGGCCCCAUCUACCUGUUAUUCCAGGGUUCCUCCACCAUCGUGUUACUCCCUGGUUGCUCCAUCACUGAGUUUCUCCACCGAGUUACUGAAAUCAACAGUUACCUUGGCGUAAAGCUGGAGUACCGCAAUGCUACAUCUCGCCCAUGCUUGUAAAAUGACCCAGUUCACGCCUUGCUGUAACAGUUUCCCGCCCAGAGAGUGAGCCACCUGCACCUGGAAUAACUUUGGAAGCUCCAGGAUGACUCCGGGGCUUGCAUCGCCUUCCCUAGUGGCUUGAUGGUGAUUUUUACAGGAAAAAGGGCUCGCCUACAGGCUUGUAGCACAAACCGAGCGAAUCCCCCACAUGUCGCAGCCGGGAGAUUAAUUGGGGCCUGUUCCCGGGAUGCUGGCUGCUCAACACAAGCCUCCUCUGAAUUCCGUAAUGUCCCCCAUCCCACAGCACCAUCUGCUCACCAAAGCUAGGCUGGAGUCUGUGUGUGGAAGUCAGCUCUGUUCAAACAGUUGUGGGAGGAGAAAGCGCAGCACAUGGUUCUCAAUCUGUUGUUCGAUGUGUUUCACUGGCCUGAUCCUGCGAGUUGCUGAGCACUCUCCGCACCGGUGGAAUUCCUUGAGACUGAAGCACUUGGCAGCAGCCUCUGGACAGGAAAAGAAUCCACAAACAAAAUGAAAGUUAAUUGAAAAUAUAAAAGGGAGGGAAAAAUCUGACUGCCCCUGAUUCCAGCAACUGUCUAUUUUCUCUCCCCCUAGGUGGUUGCUGGAGACUGGUGUCUUGUGUCUUACCUAAACAACUGGUGGGAUAUUUAUUUUUUCCUCUUCCUUCCCUUUUUUCCUCAUAUUUAUCUCUCUUGUAACCUUCCUGUCACUUUCCUUCUGCCUGGGCAGAUAACUAAUGUGUUUGUUGCAUGUUUCACUGAGUGUACUGCAUAGAGGACAACAAGUUAUAAAACAGGG
Molecule: long non-coding RNA, 1375 nt
Organism: Gopherus evgoodei (Goodes thornscrub tortoise)
Lineage: Eukaryota; Metazoa; Chordata; Testudines; Testudinidae
Exons: 3
Source: RefSeq, a predicted model, not a curated record